Molecule: long non-coding RNA, 1848 nt
Filed under: Sinocyclocheilus anshuiensis
Lineage: Eukaryota; Metazoa; Chordata; Actinopteri; Cypriniformes; Cyprinidae
Description: lncRNA (ENSSANG00000041272.1)
Source: RNAcentral
CUUUCGCUUUCGAGCGCGUUUUCUGUGCGAGUGAAAGUGUGUGGGGGCUCAGUGCGCUGAUGAAGAACGUCUCUGGCAGCAGUAAUGUAGACAGCAGCUCAAGCUGAUACUGUACAUACAGAUUUAGGGUUGUUAGGAACACAUGGAGCUGUUGAAAUGCGAGCGGACUGAAUGAAAAGCACCGGGAUGACUUUUGCUCCAGGAGUUCGCUCUGCUUGCUUCAGAGGAUUUUCACUUGCGUUAAUGCUGUUAUCGACAUGCUCGCGCAGCGACCUCGUUGAUAUUACUGUUAAGGGCACGGAUGGAGAAGCAGCAUCUCUUCCCUGCAAGUGUCCUCCGGAUAGGCCUCUGUAUCUGGUCUGGCAGAAGGUCGCCGGUGAACAGCCGCUCGUGGUUAAUUACUACAAAGACGACGACCAAGAAGACAACCUCACGGCAUCCGAGUUCAGGAACAGAACAGAGCUGAAUCUGAGUGGAAACUGUUCUCUAGUGUUUCACAGAGUGAGUCUGUCAGACCAGGGACUGUACGAGUGCUACUAUAAGAAAUCACCGUUAAGACAUGAAAGAAUCCAGCUGGUCGUCACAGAAAAACAACAACAAAUACCCGGUCAGAACGUCCAGAGCACCAUUGUGACGUCUUCAGUUUGCGUGUUUUUCAUCAUUGUGAUCGCAAGUGCUGCUGUAUACGUGGGAAUCACUUGCAGGAAUAGACAUCAGAUGAGAAGAACAUUUAUUGCAACAUCAAGGAGGAGCAUUUAACAGCUGUCAAUUCAGAGCAAGAUCUAGAUCUAUAGAUAUUAUUUUGAAUGGCAAAUGCAACAAACAAAACAACAAAAAGCACAAGCUCACACACGUCGUGCAGUUCUUAUGCGGGUGACCCAUUUCACUUGUUAACCCACCACAAACAUUUUCUGCCACUUCUCCAUCUAUUAAAGGAGUAAAUCACCGCUGACAAGAUGGGCUUUUAAUAAAAGCGGGCUGUCUAUGCAAUAAAAAACGGUGCUACAUAACUAGAGAACACAAAAAUGCGCAAGUAUAAUCUGUAGUUUUCAGACUUUUGUUGACAAAUAAAUGGGGAUUUUUUUUGUAUAGGUCACACUGAUAAAGAUACACAUUGUGCAUUUACUUAUACUACUGAUAUUGUAACAACACAAAGUUGGUUGAAAAUCUGCAAACUUACCUUUUAAAGGUAAAAUAGUCCAUAACAAUAAUGCAACUGUGAAUGCCAACCACUGGCUAAUAAUGUCACUUAUGCUUUAACAUGGUUAUUAUUGCGUUUUGCUGCAUAUCAAGACCAAUCAAGUGGUUUGCGUGGUUUUAAAACGUAAAAUUUGUUCAAAACAUUAAAACAUGAGUGAACCUCAGAGAAAAGAUUAAAUACAACUAAUAAUGUAUAUGUUUCCUUUAACAGAUGCUUUCUGUCCAAAUACUUUACACUUUACAUCCUUACGUUCGACUUUUUACAUGCUGUAAAAAAACUUAUACAGUAUGAAUAUAUAGAGUACAUAACCAAAGCAAAGAUGUACAUUAAGCAUAUUUACUCAGUGGAUUUAUAAAGUCCUGUCAGUUCGAAAAAACAUUCUUAAAGUAAUGUUUAAAGAAUGCUCUAAUAACUUUAUUAAUAUUUGAUAUAUGUUUUUCAUAACGCUGUGCAAAUCAUUCUUGGAACGUCCUUAUGAUGUUAUUUGCACGUGAUGAAUGUUCUAAGAAACAUUUUUGUUACAUUUAAAUAACGCUCAAAUCACGACAAGAAAACUAGACAAUUUAAGGUUUAUAGAAUAUUAAAAACCAUUUGAAUAACGUUAUUUUUGGGUGAAAAUAGAGUUAGUGGAACAUUGUAAGAAACCU